This 71-nucleotide transfer RNA is filed under the name Candidatus Omnitrophota bacterium. RNAcentral's name for it is "Candidatus Omnitrophica bacterium tRNA-Gly". It matches the Rfam family "tRNA". Rfam says of the family: Transfer RNA (tRNA) molecules are approximately 80 nucleotides in length. Their secondary structure includes four short double-helical elements and three loops (D, anti-codon, and T loops). Lineage: Bacteria; Pseudomonadati; Candidatus Omnitrophota. The record is from RNAcentral.
GCGGGCGUAGUUCAGUGGCAGAACACAAGCUUCCCAAGCUUGAUAUGAGGGUUCGAUUCCCUUCGCCCGCU